RNAcentral lists this long non-coding RNA (587 nucleotides) under Nicotiana tabacum (common tobacco). RNAcentral describes it as "long non-coding RNA (NTAB_LNC004329)". The record is from RNAcentral. Lineage: Eukaryota; Viridiplantae; Streptophyta; Magnoliopsida; Solanales; Solanaceae.
AAAUAACAAAUUAGCGGAAAAUAUCCAAAAAACACUGUUCCAUUAAAAUUUUCUAAAACUCUUGAAGAUUUUUUAUUUCUGAAACAAUCCAUAGAUAAUCGGAGGUUUGAAAUGGCUUAAACCGGUUGGUUUCAAGUGUUUAGGUUCGAGUUUUUGGUUGCAUUUGAUUACUGGACAUUAUUGGAUCCUUCUGCUGGUUGGAGUUUGGUUCAAAACUGGUUUUCCUUCCGUUAUUUUUGGGCUGUGUUGUUGCUGUGUUGUUCAGCUGCUGACCUUUUGCUGUUUAUUUCAUUUUCCAGGUACAUUUUACACUCCACCUCAUGUGUAAACUGAUUUGAUGAAUGAAGAUGGAAAUUCUGCAAUUUCAAUAUGUUUUCAGCCUUCUACUAUGAAUUUAACCUUGUUACUGUUUCAUUUAUGGGUUCUACAACUUAGAUCAUUGCCCUUUUGUAAUUAAUUUUAAUCUGAGUAAAUGUUUUGCGAGCUAUCUAUUUCUGUUCUGUUUUUUUUCUGAUUAUUUCACUUGUGCCCUUUGUUUUGGUAUAUCAGUCAAUGAUAUAACAUGAACACUGAAGGCUCAUUUUAAG